RNAcentral lists this ribosomal RNA (250 nucleotides) under uncultured bacterium. RNAcentral describes it as "partial 16S ribosomal RNA". It matches the Rfam family "Bacterial small subunit ribosomal RNA", at positions 84 to 334 of the family's 1533-position model. The record is from RNAcentral.
CUUGUGACUUAGUGGCGGACGGGUGAGUAACGCGUGGGUAACCUGCCUCACACAGGGGGAUAACAGUUGGAAACGACCGCUAAUACCGCAUAACCCGCUAGGGCCGCAUGGCCCGGACGGAAAAGAUUUAUCGGUGUGAGAUGGACCCGCGUUGGAUUAGCUAGUUGGCAGGGUAACGGCCUACCAAGGCGACGAUCCAUAGCCGGCCUGAGAGGGUGAACGGCCACAUUGGGACUGAGACACGGCCCAA